CCUUGUGCCAGCAGCCGCGGUAAUACCGGUGGCUCGAGUGGUGGCGCUAUAUUGGGUCUAAAGGUCGUACCCGGCUAAUAAAGUUACCUUGGGAAAAUCCGGUGGCCUAACCAUCGGGCGGCCAGGUAAUACUAUCAGGCUCGGGACUAGGAGAGACCAGAGGUACUCAUGAGGUAGGAGUGAAAUCCUGUAAUCUUAUGAGGACCACCAGUGGUGAAGACGUCUGGUUAGAAUAGGUCCGACGGUGAGGGACGAAUGCUGGGGGCGCAAACCGGAUUAGAUACCCGGGUAGUCCCAGCAGUAAACGAUGCCAGCUAUGUGUUGCUGGAACCAUGGGUUCCAGCAGUGCCGAGGGGAAGCCGUGAAGCUGGCCACCUGGGAAGUACGGUCGCAAUGCUGAAACUUAAAGGAAUUGGCGGGGGAGUACCACAACCGGUGGAGCCUGCGGUUUAAUUGGAUACAACGCCGGGAAUCUUACCGGAGGGGACAGCAGUAUGAAGGCCAGGCUAAAGACCUUGCCAGAUCAGCUGAGAGGAGGUGCAUGGCCGUCGCCAGUUCGUACCGUGAGGCAUCCUGUUUAGUCAGGCAACGAUCG
This 595-nucleotide ribosomal RNA is filed under the name uncultured bacterium. Its description in RNAcentral is "bacterial SSU rRNA". It matches the Rfam family "Archaeal small subunit ribosomal RNA", at positions 451 to 1047 of the family's 1478-position model. The record is from RNAcentral.